UACGAAGGGGGCGAGCGUUGUUCGGAUUUACUGGGCGUAAAGGGCGCGCAGCGGCCGCAUUUGUCAGGCGUGAAAGCCCCGGGCUUAACCUGGGAACUGCGUUUGAUACGGUGUGGCUAGAGUUCGGGAGAGGAGAGUGGAAUUCCCAGUGUAGAGGUGAAAUUCGUAGAUAUUGGGAAGAACACCGGUGGCGAAGGGCGGCGACCUG
This 208-nucleotide ribosomal RNA is filed under the name uncultured bacterium. Its description in RNAcentral is "partial 16S ribosomal RNA". It matches the Rfam family "Bacterial small subunit ribosomal RNA", at positions 524 to 731 of the family's 1533-position model. The record is from RNAcentral.